This 21-nucleotide non-coding RNA is filed under the name Caenorhabditis elegans. The record is from RNAcentral. Lineage: Eukaryota; Metazoa; Nematoda; Chromadorea; Rhabditida; Rhabditidae.
UUUAAACUUUAUUGAGACAGA